CCUACGGGAGGCAGCAGUGGGGAAUAUUGGACAAUGGGGGCAACCCUGAUCCAGCCAUGCCGCGUGUGUGAAGAAGGCCCUCGGGUUGUAAAGCACUUUCAGUGAGGAAGAACGCCUGGUGGUUAAUACCCAUCAGGAAAGACAUCACUCACAGAAGAAGCACCGGCUAACUCCGUGCCAGCAGCCGCGGUAAUACGGAGGGUGCGAGCGUUAAUCGGAAUUACUGGGCGUAAAGCGCGCGUAGGUGGCUUGAUAAGCCGGUUGUGAAAGCCCCGGGCUCAACCUGGGAACGGCAUCCGGAACUGUCAAGCUAGAGUGCAGGAGAGGAAGGUAGAAUUCCCGGUGUAGCGGUGAAAUGCGUAGAGAUCGGGAGGAAUACCAGUGGCGAAGGCGGCCUUCUGGACUGACACUGACACUGAGGUGCGAAAGCGUGGGUUGCAAACAGGAUUAGAUACCCCAGUAGUC
RNAcentral lists this ribosomal RNA (465 nucleotides) under Vreelandella stevensii. Its description in RNAcentral is "partial 16S ribosomal RNA". It matches the Rfam family "Bacterial small subunit ribosomal RNA", at positions 338 to 795 of the family's 1533-position model. Lineage: Bacteria; Pseudomonadati; Pseudomonadota; Gammaproteobacteria; Oceanospirillales; Halomonadaceae. The record is from RNAcentral.